This 441-nucleotide ribosomal RNA is filed under the name uncultured bacterium. RNAcentral describes it as "partial 16S ribosomal RNA". It matches the Rfam family "Bacterial small subunit ribosomal RNA", at positions 338 to 795 of the family's 1533-position model. The record is from RNAcentral.
ACUACGGUGUGCUGCAGUGGGGAAUAUUGCACAAUGGGGGAAACCCUGAUGCAGCAACGCCGCGUGAGUGAAGAAGGUAUUCGGAUUGUAAAGCUCUGUUAGCAGGGCAGAGGAAGGACGGUAACUGCAGAGAAAGCAACGGCUAACUACGUGCCAGCAGCCGAGGUAAUACGUAUGAGGCAAGCGUUGAUCGGAAUGACUGGUCGUAAAGGGAGCGUAGACGGCGGAGCAAGCCUGAAGUGAAAGGGGGGGGCCCAGCCCUCGGACUGCUUUGGGAACUGUACGGCUGGAGUGCAGGGGGGGUAAGUGGAAGUCCUAGUGUAGCGGUGAAAUGCGUAGAUAUUAGGAGGAACACCAGUGGCGAAGGCGGCUUACUGGACUGUAACUGACGUUGAGGCUCGAAAGCGUGGGGAGCAAACAGGAUUAGAUACCCCUGUAGUC